GAUGCUCCAAACAGCAAGCAUUACACCAGCAGCAGUCAUAAUGUUUCCAGUCAGAUCAUUCACAUAAAUUGCUGAAACAGGAGCGGGUAACUGAGGAAGCUGCCUAACAAAAACCAUGGAGCUAAGGUCCCACAAGAUAACAGUGCAGUCAUCUGAUCCACUCACAAUCAUCAUGUACGGCUGACUAACUUGUAGGCAUGUGAUUUUGCCUGUAUGAGCACAGAGAGUCUUCUCCAACUGCAAGCGCCUUACAGAACGGGGUGCCUCUUUACCAAUCCUCCAAACACAAACCAAUCCCUCGUCAGCCCCUGUAACUAGAAUGUGGCCAUCAUGACUAGCACUGGCACACUGUAUCUGGUUCCCUCCAUGAAGAUUCUCAUGAGUGGAGAGAAGCCUAUCUUGAUCAUAGCUAAUAAAUCUCAAACUGCG
Molecule: unclassified non-coding RNA, 429 nt
Filed under: Hevea brasiliensis (rubber tree)
Lineage: Eukaryota; Viridiplantae; Streptophyta; Magnoliopsida; Malpighiales; Euphorbiaceae
Source: RNAcentral